UACAGAGGGGGCGAGCGUUGUUCGGAAUUACUGGGCGUAAAGGGCGCGUAGGCGGCCUUCUAAGUCGAACGUGAAAUCCCCGGGCUCAACCCGGGAACUGCGUCCGAUACUGGCAGGCUUGAAUCCGGGAGAGGGAUGCGGAAUUCCAGGUGUAGCGGUGAAAUGCGUAGAUAUCUGGAGGAACACCGGUGGCGAAGGCGGCAUCCUGGACCGGCAUUGACGCUGAGGCGCGAAAGCCAGGGGAGCAAACGGG
Molecule: ribosomal RNA, 253 nt
Filed under: uncultured bacterium
Lineage: Bacteria
Description: partial 16S ribosomal RNA
Rfam family: Bacterial small subunit ribosomal RNA
Source: RNAcentral